GGGCCUCUAGCUCAAUGGGCAGAGCAGCGGACUUUUAAUCCGUAGGUUGUGGGUUCGAGUCCCACGGGGCCCA
This 73-nucleotide transfer RNA is filed under the name Georgenia satyanarayanai. RNAcentral's name for it is "Georgenia sp. JC82 tRNA". It matches the Rfam family "tRNA". Rfam says of the family: Transfer RNA (tRNA) molecules are approximately 80 nucleotides in length. Lineage: Bacteria; Bacillati; Actinomycetota; Actinomycetes; Allobogoriellales; Allobogoriellaceae. RNAcentral also lists the same sequence under 3 other names. The record is from Rfam by way of RNAcentral.